RNAcentral lists this ribosomal RNA (550 nucleotides) under uncultured bacterium. RNAcentral's name for it is "bacterial SSU rRNA". It matches the Rfam family "Bacterial small subunit ribosomal RNA", at positions 355 to 896 of the family's 1533-position model. The record is from RNAcentral.
UAGGGAAUUUUCGGCAAUGGGGGCAACCCUGACCGAGCAACGCCGCGUGAGUGAAGAAGGUUUUCGGAUCGUAAAGCUCUGUUGUAAGAGAAGAACGAGUGUGAGAGUGGAAAGUUCACACUGUGACGGUAACUUACCAGAAAGGGACGGCUAACUACGUGCCAGCAGCCGCGGUAAUACGUAGGUCCCGAGCGUUAUCCGGAUUUAUUGGGCGUAAAGCGAGCGCAGGCGGUUAGAUAAGUCUGAAGUUAGAGGCUGUGGCUUAACCAUAGUACGCUUUGGAAACUGUUUAACUUGAGUGCAGAAGGGGAGAGUGGAAUUCCAUGUGUAGCGGUGAAAUGCGUAGAUAUAUGGAGGAACACCGGUGGCGAAAGCGGCUCUCUGGUCUGUAACUGACGCUGAGGCUCGAAAGCGUGGGGAGCAAACAGGAUUAGAUACCCUGGUAGUCCACGCCGUAAACGAUGAGUGCUAGGUGUUGGGUCCCUUCCGGGACUCAGUGCCGCAGCUAACGCAUUAAGCACUCCGCCUGGGGAGUACGACCGCAAGGUUG